GCACAAGCGGUGGAGCAUGUGGUUUAAUUCGACGCAACGCGAAGAACCUUACCAGGGCUUGACAUCCCCUGACCGCGUAUGAAAGUACGUUUUCACCCUCGGGUGACAGGGAGACAGGUGGUGCAUGGUUGUCGUCAGCUCGUGUCGUGAGAUGUUGGGUUAAGUCCCGCAACGAGCGCAACCCCUACGUUUAGUUGCUAACGCGUGAAGGCGAGCACUCUAGACGAACUGCCGUUGACAAAACGGAGGAAGGUGGGAUGACGUCAAAUCAUCAUGCCCCCUAUGUUCUGGGCUACACACGUGCUACAAUGGCCGGUACAGACGGACGCAAAGCCGCGAGGUGGAGCAAAUCCUAAAAAGCCGGUCUCAGUUCGGAUUGCAGGCUGCAAUUCGCCUGCAUGAAGUCGGAAUCGCUAGUAAUCGCAGGUCAGCAUACUGCGGUGAAUACGUUCCCGGGCCUU
RNAcentral lists this ribosomal RNA (461 nucleotides) under uncultured Pelotomaculum sp. RNAcentral describes it as "bacterial SSU rRNA". It matches the Rfam family "Bacterial small subunit ribosomal RNA", at positions 923 to 1382 of the family's 1533-position model. Lineage: Bacteria; Bacillati; Bacillota; Clostridia; Eubacteriales; Desulfotomaculaceae. The record is from RNAcentral.